UAGGGAAUAUUAGACAUGGACGCAAGUCUGAUCUAGCAACACCGCGUGUGCGAAGAAGGCCUUCGGGUUGUAAAGCACUUUUUGGAAGGAUUAGGAAGGAAUGUACUUCCAGAAUAAGUCUCGGCUAACUACGUGCCAGCAGCCGCGGUAACACGUAGGAGGCAACCGUUAUCCGGAUUUACUGGGCGUAAAGCGCGUGUAGGUGGUUCUGUAAGUAGGGCGUGAAAGCUCCUGGCUCAACUGGGAGAGGCCGUUCGAAACUGCAGAGCUAGAGGAUGGUAGAGGGAGGUGGAAUUCCGGGUGUAGCGGUGGAAUGCGCAGAUAUCCGGAGGAACACCAGUGGCGAAAGCGGCCUCCUGGACCAUUCCUGACACUCAGACGCGAAAGCUAGGGUAGCAAACG
Molecule: ribosomal RNA, 402 nt
Filed under: uncultured prokaryote
Description: bacterial SSU rRNA
Rfam family: Bacterial small subunit ribosomal RNA
Source: RNAcentral